Molecule: ribosomal RNA, 1167 nt
Filed under: Triticum aestivum (bread wheat)
Lineage: Eukaryota; Viridiplantae; Streptophyta; Magnoliopsida; Poales; Poaceae
Description: partial small subunit ribosomal RNA
Source: RNAcentral
AUGGCCGCCUCCUCCUCCUCCUCGCUCCGGAUCCCCGCACCAACCCACCACCCCGCCGCGGGGGCGCGUCCGCGGCGGCUGCCCUUCCACGCCGUCUCCGUCCGCCCCCGCCGCUCCGCAGCCUCCGCCUCCGCCUCCUCCUCCUCCCCGCAGCAGGCGCCGGCGCCGGGCGACGGCGACGACGCCGACGGGCCCACCGGCGUGCCCGUGCCCGUGCCCUUCUCCCGCGACUCCGCCAUCGCGCUGCCUCGGCCGCUGACGAGCGCGGAUCUGAUGGGGGAGGCCAGCGGGGAGGGCCUCAGGGUCGCGUACCAGGGGUGCCCGGGCGCCUACAGCGAGGCCGCCGCCAAGAAGGCCUACCCGAGCUGCGAGACCGUGCCCUGCGAGUACUUCGAGACCGCCUUCCAGGCCGUUGAGAAGUGGGCGGCUGACCGUGCAGUGUUGCCGCUGGAGAAUUCCUUGGGCGGCAGCAUACAUCGCAACUAUGACCUCCUGCUUCGCCACCGGCUGCACAUUGUGGGUGAGGUGCGGCUGGCGGUUCGUCAUUGCCUGCUCGCGAACCGUGGCGUCAAGAUUGAGAACCUGCGGAGUGCCAUGAGCCACCCUCAGGCUCUUGCGCAGUGUGAGCAAACACUGACGCAGCUAGGAAUUGAACACAGAGAAGCUGUCGAUGAUACAGCGGGUGCAGCCAAGCAAAUUGCAGAAGAAAAUCUCCAAGACACUGCUGCUGUUGCCAGUUCAUUGGCUGCUCAACUUUAUGGACUGGACAUUCUUGCAGAAAAUAUCCAGGAUGACGCAGAUAAUGUAACCCGUUUCAUGAUGCUGGCUCGGGAACCCAUUAUCCCUCGCACAGAUAAGCCAUUCAAGACUAGCAUAGUAUUCUCUUUGGAAGAAGGACCUGGACAACUCUUCAAGGCGCUUGCUGUCUUUGCUCUGAGAAAAAUUAACCUCACCAAGAUGGAAAGCCGUCCACACAAGAAAAAGCCUCUACGUGUAGCUGAUGAUAAUUCCACCCCGCUGAAGCACUUUGACUACCUUUUCUACGUAGAUUUCGAGGCAUCAAUGGCUGAUCCGAAUGCACAAAAUGCUCUGAGUAACUUAAAGCAAGAGUUUGCCACCUUCCUAAGAGUUCUUGGGAGCUAUCCUACCGAUGUCACCGAAGCAUGA